GGGGUUUUUAUCUAUUCCAGUUCUCGAAAAUUUACCAAAUAUAGGUUGGCUGUAAAAUCAUAACUAUCUGAGGUAUCUGUCAAUAAAUCAAAGAUUGCAAUGAUGAUAGCUUCUUUAACAUGAAUGUAAUUCUAACAGUAAAAAAUUUCUAUAUGGAAUAUGUUUUGUAGUCCUAAAUUGAUAUUUUAUAUCAUUUUUCAGUGAACAAGUAGUUGUUUACAGGUGUCUGUGCAUAUGUCUCAAGUUUUUCUAACUAAAAUAUUAAUAGUUAAGUCUAAAAAUAUGAAUUAUACGUGGGGCUUGUCAUUCUGACAUUUAAUACUUCAGCGUGGUGAUAAUGGUGAUAUAAUAUACUGUUUGAAAUUGUAACACAUGAGUUAAAAUCAAAAGAUUGAUAAGUACAUAUUUGUAUAUUGCUACAUGACAAAAAUCUAGGAAGAAUAUGAUUCACAUGAAAAUUCUUUGGAAGGACAUGACAGACUUUUAACAGUCCUGUAUAGUGAAAGGAGAAUAGAACGACUACUUCUACUUUCUGUAUCUGAAAUUUUCAAAAGCUAUUUCAAAAUGAACAUUUAAACAACAGGAAAUUUUAGAGACAACCACUUUGUGCCUGUCUUCAUCCUUGACAUUCAACAUCCUAGGAACAAUGGGCUGUUGUAUUCAACUUCUUAUUCCCAACAGCCAUUAUGAAUGGUUUUUGAUUGAUCUCACAAAGAGCAUGUGCUUUAGACAUUAAUGCAGCGACUACCAUGAAACAGAGUAUUGGAUUACCUAAGGAAAGAAGCAGAGGAUGGAAUUUGAGGCAAUCAGGAUGAGUGAAAAAUUGAUUUGCAGCUGACCUGCAAAUGGAAUCAUCAGGAACAUCCCUUUCUCAUGGAGUCCCUUAAUUUACAAGUUAACUGCAAACAUAGGAGAUGAUAGUUCCAAGAAGGAACAUUUUAUCGUCUUUGUUUUUAAUCUCAAGAAUGGUACCUACCAUCAGUGAAUGACCUGUUGCAGUGCUUUCAUUGAAGUGUUCUUCGUUCCCUCAGCAAUAUGAUUGUGAUGACUGAAAAAGGGAAACUGUGCCACUAUUUGUACCAUCAUUUUCACCAAAAUCUAAAAAUGCUUUUUAUGACGUAUGGAGACAUUCUUCAUGUUUGUUUCAGUGGACACUCCUUGCAGAUGUAAAAAACUGAGAAAACUCACUUUUGGAAAGUGACCUAAAGAGUGUCAUUGAAGUGAAUUUUAAGUAGGCACGAUGAUUGUUUUCAUGGUUGCUGUUGGAUCAUAUCUCAGGAGCUGGAAUGACAGACAUUAUUGAACAAAGAAAUCAGGAUAGUGGAACUUAAAGGGCUUCAUCUCAGUGCUUUCAUAAGUAUGAAGUGCAUAUAUUUAUAAUUUUCACUAAUCACAGGGUAAAUAUAAAAUUGAUUCAUUAAAAAUGUUUCAUAAGAAUUCAAAGGACAUAGAAUUUUGUGAAAUGUAGUAUUUUUACUUAAGUGCCUUUUCUCUGCUUCUACCCCACAGCCAAUUUUUUAUAAACCAGUUGAUAACAUAAGUAGUUUUUGGGGGAUGAUACAUUACUUAUACAUUUUCUAUGUAGUAAACAUGUAUGUGUAUGUGUGUGGGUGUGUGUCUAAUUACUUUGUUGGACAGAUUCCUGUGGUUUGGAACUGCUGGGGCCAAGUUUAUACAAAAAUCUACAUUUUUGAGUAAACUCCCCAUGACUCUAGUAAGUUUCCACAGUAUUUGAGUAUUCUUUAUUUCCUAAAGCUGUACAAACAUCAGAUAAUCAAUAUUUGUAAGGAUCGAUAAUAUAAUUUAUAAUGAAAUUGCUUUAUCAGCUAUUAAUGUUAACUACAUCAUCUUCAUAUAGCCUUAUAACUCAUUUGUGCUAUUCCAUUUUCCUCUGUUCCUUUUAUUUUCACUUCCCUUGUAAUGUUAGUCUCUUUGUACUGAUUUCUGAAGAGUUCAUUUAUGAUUAAACAUGUUAACAUUUUGUCUAGAAUUGCAAAUAUGUUUUUUCUCAUUCAUUUUACUAUGGUGUUUUAUUUUUUGGUUAUACAGAAGUUGUAUAUUGAAAUAUAAUCUUGUUCUGUUUUAUGACUUUGGAGUUUUGUGGUUUUUUAAAACAUGUUUACAUUGGUAUCAUUUAUUUGUAUUGCCUUCUAUUUCAGCAGUUAGUUUGUCAUUUCUUUUUCCAUUAAUCAUCAUUCUGGUGUUAAUGAAUGCAUUAAAUAUUUAAAGUACUCACUUUGACCCGUGUAGUUAUCUGUUAAGUUCUACCAUAAAGAAAAUUUCCAGGUAA
RNAcentral lists this long non-coding RNA (2290 nucleotides) under Homo sapiens (human). RNAcentral describes it as "HSALNT0217564". Lineage: Eukaryota; Metazoa; Chordata; Mammalia; Primates; Hominidae. The record is from RNAcentral.